This 405-nucleotide ribosomal RNA is filed under the name Triticum aestivum (bread wheat). RNAcentral describes it as "partial small subunit ribosomal RNA". Lineage: Eukaryota; Viridiplantae; Streptophyta; Magnoliopsida; Poales; Poaceae. The record is from RNAcentral.
AUGUCUUCCUCCUCUGCCACCUCCCACUCAAGCCUAAAUGGCCAGGUCAUGGAGAAGCUCUCCCGCACAAAUUAUGUGCUAUGGCGGACACAGAUCAUGCCCCAGCUGAGAGGGGCCGGUCUCUUUGGCUAUGCGGACGGCACCAUGCCGGAACCAGCUAGCCUUCUCGUCACCAAGGACAAGGACGGGAAGGAGACCUCUGAGCCCAACCCUCUCCACCCCAUCUAGGUCAUGGAGAACCAUCAGGUGCUCGGCUUCCUACUAAGCAACCUCUCCAAAGAGGUGCUCGUCACGGUGACCGCGAUCACCACCGCGCACGCGCUCUGGACGGCACUGGCGGGCAUGUUUUCGUCGCAGUCCUUGAGCCACGUCAACAACAUCCGCACCGCCCUCAUCAAUGCCUAG